AAUCCGUGUUGUGGGCACCUCUGCAAAAGGUCCUUGAAACACUCCCAUGUCUCAAACAAUGAUUCCAAUUCCAUCUAUACGAAUGAUGAUUUCUCAUUGCCAAGCUU
Dioscorea cayenensis subsp. rotundata (Guinea yam) is the source of this 107-nucleotide small nucleolar RNA. The record is from RefSeq and is a predicted model, not a curated record. Lineage: Eukaryota; Viridiplantae; Streptophyta; Magnoliopsida; Dioscoreales; Dioscoreaceae.